AUGAACGCUAGCGACAGGCCUAACACAUGCAAGUCAGGGGCAGCACAAGGAGCAAUCUGAGGUGGCGACCGGCGCACGGGUGAGUAACACGUAUGCAACCUGACCUGUAAGCGAGGAAUAACCCGUUGAAAGACGGACUAAUACCGCAUAAUACUAAAUUACUGCAUGGUAAUUUAUUUAAACAUUUAUGGCUUACAGAUGGGCAUGCGCAUGAUUAGCUAGUUGGAGAGGUAACGGCUCCCCAAGGCAACGAUCAUUAGGGGUUCUGAGAGGAAGGUCCCCCACACUGGUACUGAGACACGGACCAGACUCCUACGGGAGGCAGCAGUGAGGAAUAUUGGUCAAUGGACGAGAGUCUGAACCAGCCAAGUCGCGUGCAGGAAGAAUUGUCCUAUGGAUUGUAAACUGCUUUUGCAGGGGAAUAAAGUGCAUCACGUGUGAUGUUUUGUAUGUACUCUGCGAAUAAGGAUCGGCUAACUCCGUGCCAGCCGCGGC
This 495-nucleotide ribosomal RNA is filed under the name uncultured bacterium. RNAcentral describes it as "bacterial SSU rRNA". It matches the Rfam family "Bacterial small subunit ribosomal RNA", at positions 29 to 518 of the family's 1533-position model. The record is from RNAcentral.